GUAUAGCUCAGCUGGAUAGAGCGAUCGCCUCCUAAGCGAUAGGCCGGGGGUUCGAAUCCCUUUAC
Molecule: transfer RNA, 65 nt
Filed under: bovine gut metagenome
Rfam family: tRNA
About the family: Transfer RNA (tRNA) molecules are approximately 80 nucleotides in length. Their secondary structure includes four short double-helical elements and three loops (D, anti-codon, and T loops). Further hydrogen bonds mediate the characteristic L-shaped molecular structure. tRNAs have two regions of fundamental functional importance: the anti-codon, which is responsible for specific mRNA codon recognition, and the 3' end, to which the tRNAs corresponding amino acid is attached (by aminoacyl-tRNA synthetases). tRNAs cope with the degeneracy of the genetic code in two manners: having more than one tRNA (with a specific anti-codon) for a particular amino acid; and 'wobble' base-pairing, i.e. permitting non-standard base-pairing at the 3rd anti-codon position.
Source: RNAcentral